GCUCCGGUGGCCUAGUGGUUAGAGAGUUGGCUUUGAAUGUGAGAGGUCGCGGAUUCGAACCCUGUCUGAGUCA
Potamilus streckersoni is the source of this 73-nucleotide non-coding RNA. NCBI's taxonomy places the organism in Eukaryota, Metazoa, Mollusca, Bivalvia, Unionida, Unionidae. The record is from the annotation of a GenBank genome assembly.